This 560-nucleotide ribosomal RNA is filed under the name Pseudomonas putida. RNAcentral's name for it is "bacterial SSU rRNA". It matches the Rfam family "Bacterial small subunit ribosomal RNA", at positions 137 to 692 of the family's 1533-position model. Lineage: Bacteria; Pseudomonadati; Pseudomonadota; Gammaproteobacteria; Pseudomonadales; Pseudomonadaceae. The record is from RNAcentral. RNAcentral also lists the same sequence under 1 other name.
UGGGGGACAACGUUUCGAAAGGAACGCUAAUACCGCAUACGUCCUACGGGAGAAAGCAGGGGACCUUCGGGCCUUGCGCUAUCAGAUGAGCCUAGGUCGGAUUAGCUAGUUGGUGAGGUAAUGGCUCACCAAGGCGACGAUCCGUAACUGGUCUGAGAGGAUGAUCAGUCACACUGGAACUGAGACACGGUCCAGACUCCUACGGGAGGCAGCAGUGGGGAAUAUUGGACAAUGGGCGAAAGCCUGAUCCAGCCAUGCCGCGUGUGUGAAGAAGGUCUUCGGAUUGUAAAGCACUUUAAGUUGGGAGGAAGGGCAUUAACCUAAUACGUUAGUGUUUUGACGUUACCGACAGAAUAAGCACCGGCUAACUCUGUGCCAGCAGCCGCGGUAAUACAGAGGGUGCAAGCGUUAAUCGGAAUUACUGGGCGUAAAGCGCGCGUAGGUGGUUUGUUAAGUUGGAUGUGAAAGCCCCGGGCUCAACCUGGGAACUGCAUCCAAAACUGGCAAGCUAGAGUACGGUAGAGGGUGGUGGAAUUUCCUGUGUAGCGGUGAAAUGCGUA